Molecule: ribosomal RNA, 231 nt
Filed under: Triticum aestivum (bread wheat)
Lineage: Eukaryota; Viridiplantae; Streptophyta; Magnoliopsida; Poales; Poaceae
Description: partial small subunit ribosomal RNA
Source: RNAcentral
AUGUCAUUUAGACUACUUGUGUGCAAUGUUAGGGGGCUGAAUAACCCGGCCAGGCGCAAUUCUAUCUGUUUAUUUAUGCAGUCUUGUGAUGCGUCCUUGGUUUGCUUCCAAGAAUCUAAGCUGAAUGUACUUGAUCCUUUGGUGGUUAAUCAGACACUUGGCCCAGAGUUUGAUGGGUUUGAGGCUUUGCCAGCGGAAGGCACCAGAGGAGUAAUUCUGUUAGCCUGGAGA